This 325-nucleotide long non-coding RNA is filed under the name Felis catus (domestic cat). Its description in RNAcentral is "lncRNA (ENSFCAG00000046478.2)". The record is from RNAcentral. Lineage: Eukaryota; Metazoa; Chordata; Mammalia; Carnivora; Felidae.
AAUCAUGACAUUUUUAAUUCUAUUACAGUCUGAAGUUGAAGGUGAACUUUUGUCCAUAGAUCAGUGGAUGAACAGCAUACACCUGUAUGUGAAAAAGCAGUAUGAAUAUGGUGUUCAAUUAUGAUACUGGCUAUGAUAUUCACAAUAGCCUUCAAGUCCUUGCAGACCACCUUUUUACAUAUUUCCAUCUGGACUGGAUUUCCAUCACUCUGGUUCAAGCCACGAAGCCCGGCAUUAGUACCCAUUUCUGCGAACUGAAAGAAACUUAAAGAGGAUUUUUGUUUUUCCAAAAAAAAAAAAAAAUUGAAAAGAAAACUUCAUGUCC